RNAcentral lists this ribosomal RNA (542 nucleotides) under uncultured bacterium. RNAcentral's name for it is "bacterial SSU rRNA". It matches the Rfam family "Bacterial small subunit ribosomal RNA", at positions 286 to 827 of the family's 1533-position model. The record is from RNAcentral.
GGGGUUCUGAGAGGAAGGUCCCCCACGUUGGAACUGAGCCAGGAUCCAACUCUAUACGGGAGGCAGCAGUGAGGAAUAUUGGUCAAUGGACGAGAGUCUGAACCAGCCAAGUAGCGUGAAGGAUGACUGCCUAUGGGUUGUAAACUUCUUUUAUACGGGAAUAAGUGAGGCACGUGUGCCUUUUUGUAUGUACCGUAUGAAUAAGGAUCGGCUAACUCCGUGCCAGCAGCCGCGGUAAUACGGAGGAUCCGAGCGUUAUCCGGAUUUAUUGGGUUUAAAGGGAGCGUAGGCGGACGCUUAAGUCAGUUGUGAAAGUUUGCGGCUCAACCGUAAAAUUGCAGUUGAUACUGGGUGUCUUGAGUACAGUAGAGGCAGGCGGAAUUCGUGGUGUAGCGGUGAAAUGCUUAGAUAUCACGAAGAACUCCGAUUGCGAAGGCAGCCUGCUGGACUGUAACUGACGCUGAUGCUCGAAAGUGUGGGUAUCAAACAGGAUUAGAUACCCUGGUAGUCCACACAGUAAACGAUGAAUACUCGCUUUUGCG